Varanus komodoensis (Komodo dragon) is the source of this 10037-nucleotide long non-coding RNA. RefSeq lists it as uncharacterized. The transcript has 2 exons. NCBI's taxonomy places the organism in Eukaryota, Metazoa, Chordata, Lepidosauria, Squamata, Varanidae. The record is from RefSeq and is a predicted model, not a curated record.
CAUUCAUUAUUCAACAGGGUGACAAAGCUCAUUUUUAUUGCAUCAUCUUGGAAAUAGGUGUGGCUUUCAGGUAUGGCUCUGACUAUCAUGAAGGAACCCCCCACUUCUAAAUUUGCCUCUACACCACUGCUGCCAGCCUUCAUUUACAUGGACACUAGGAUUCUGCUUUAGGGCCUACCAUCUACUGCCACCUCUGAAGAACGAAGAAGGGCCUUUUCAGUGGUGGCCUCCCAGUUAUGGAACAAACUCCCCCCUGAGUCCCACUUGAUGCCAACUUUACCAUCUUUUCAGUGCCAGAGCAAUCCUUACAGCUGUGACCUUGUGGAUGGAGACUGGCAAGCAUCUUGUCUUCUCAGCAGUGCUUGCAGCUGCCAUGGAGGGGACCUGGGCAGCAGCUCUUCAAAGGACUCAGCAGCUUCUUCAGAAAGAGGUUAGGGAAGGGAAGAGGAGACCUGCAUCCUGUCGAACCAAGAGCCCCAUCCAUGCCCUCUGCCAGCUAGGCAGACUGAGAGGUAUGUCUGGCUUAAAUUUGUGGAAACAGAGGAAUAGGAAGCUGUAAAAGCAUCUGUUCUCCUCCUGAUCCAAGCAGGGCACUGGAUAGACAGAGACCUCUGAGACUGGAGGGUGCUGUAUACAAAGCUUUCCUUAGGUUUGUGGACGUCAACAUUCUUAAAUAUGUAUUCACUCUCCCUCUCUUUCUCUCUUUAAAGGAGGUUGGGAUAAUAUCAGGGAUGGAGUCACAUCCCACUGAAGUCAUGGUGGGCACCACAAGUAGGAGCAAUCACCUCCCACCAGUUUCUCUGACAAUGCAGAUCCUAUUGAUUUCAAAGAGAAGCAUGAACAUUUUAUUUGGUUGAAUCCACCUCAUUCAGCCCCAUCCCAUGUCAUGGACAAUGUUCUUUGAGUGAGUUGAUAGCUGGGGAGAGAAAGGGGGUGACGGGACUCUUGCAUCCCUAGAAAUCACACCUCAGGCACCAGAGCAUCCAUAGCUGUAUCAGCACUAAUGAAACAUGGUGCAGUCAAAGGGAGGCAUCCCAUAAUCUUUUGCAGCACUGCAGGUCUGUGCAGCCUGAGAGUGACACCCAUUGACUUUCCUGGCAUUCUUUAGGGAAAGCUAGCGCAAUGAAGAACAGAAAUAAGAUUAAGGGUAAUAGGAAUGGAUGUGGCAGUCCAGGGCCAGAGACGAGAAGCAUUUUCACCAGGGAUAUCUACAUUGUAGUUAUGGGUCCAUGGCAGGUAGAAAUUCAAUAGGUGGUGCUUCUCCCAUCAUUGUAUUUCCAUGCAUGCCUGAUGAAUUUCUGUCUGUCACACAGCCGUUCAAAGGCACAGGAGGUUUGCCGGAAGCAACAUUAUUGAACAUUUACCAUGUCGAAAUUGCCCCUUGGCAGCCUCCCAGUCAAUCCCCCUAUUCUGUAAGUUUUCAGAUGUGCAACGGAUGGAAGCCCUUGUGUUUCAGGGAAUCAGCCAAUCUUUAACUGCCGGCUUUUGCAGUCACAAGGUCUUUCAGUUCAAACAAAGUAUCCCAGAACUGCCUCUUCUGAAGAUUAUUGCUUUUUCCGUGGAAGCUUCUGGCACUGUAAUUCCAUUGGAGACAGCUCUGGAGAGGAUGAUGGUCUUGAAAAGAUCAUGUCUGAGUUCAUACUUAAUUUCUGUGUUCAUACUUAAGCUUUGGCUUCUGGCCAAAGUAUUGUCUGUUUGUAUGUACAAAACUGUAAAGAACUUUUUGGUUUUUUUUUCACGUUAAAAGUAUGCCUGGAACUUGUGACAAACAAGCAACUAGAAGGUUGUUACACCUGAAGAGUAACAUGAGCAGGUGCCAUUAUUUUUAGCAGGCGGGUAAUAACUACUCUCCACUGGUUCUGUACGACAUAAUUGCAUGCCUUAAUUGCCGCUUGCAGUUUUGUGGGUCUUGUGGUGUAUGAAGAAACUAUUUUAAAGGUAUAUGUAAGGCAUAAGCUCUAUUGAUUUGUAGUACACAAAAGCAAUAAACAGCUGCUAGCUUUGAUUAAACCUGAUGUGAAGCUGAAGAGCUUAAUCAAUCUCUAAAGCUGUUCUGAAUAUAUCACAAAGCAAUACUGAUUAUUGCUAUUAUAUGGCAAAGUAGGGCAUCCAGAAAAAGAAGACGAAGAAAAAGAUUCCCCCCUUCCUUUGGGAAUGAUGGAUUGUAUAAUCCUGCUGUCUUUCACACUUACACCUGGAGAGGUUGCUGCAGAAGCAAGCUAUGGUGACAAACCGAGCGUAAGAUGCUUCAGGUAUUGUUCAAGGAUUAGUAUUCGUAUUCCUUUUUAGGGCUGAGCUGAAAUCCAGGAGUCUGCUUUUCACAAAGGUUUUCUUCUCCCUUUGAAAAGUGUUCUCCAUUGAUCUGGGGGGGGGUGUGUGCAGAAGCAUUCUUGCUGCAUGAGGGCACUCCCUCCUGCCCCGCACUCCCUUCCCAGGAUCUGGCAGGGCUGGACUUGCAGAAGGAACCGGGUUAGUUAUACCUUGGUUUCUGUUUCCAAAAGUUGUCUUUUGCCCAAGAACAAGAAUGAAGUUCAGGGUGUGCAGGCCAGCCUUGCUCCAGCUGCCACCACGUCUUCUCACUGUGGCUAGUGGCAGCAUCCUGUCCCACCUACUGACCUACCUGCUUAGUUAGCCACCUGGCUGGCUGCCUUCUCAUUGGCCCAGCUGGCUGCCUGUUCAUUCCCCCCUUGUGCCCCAGCCUUGGGGCUCCAUGAGAGGUUGGCUGACCUCUUGUGACAGUUCUUCUGGGCUCUUGGCAUAAUUGCAUAACUGGGGCACAAGGCAGGAGUGACCGAGCAUGUGACUCCUGUUCCAUGCAUUGCGAUUCCAGUCCAGUGUUUUGAUUCAAUAUGGCCAUUCGUAAGACAUACGAUGAGCAAAUGAGGAUGUGGAUUGCUGAGUGGGUGGGCGGAGAGAGACGCGUGGGUGGCAGCAGAACGUAUUGUUUGGGCCUGAUCACAGGACCCGUCAGAACAGUCUUUGUGAUGCCCUUGCUGAGAACCAGCAGGGAGUGGGUCUAGUCAGGCAGCCCAAGGAGAUGGGAAUGGGGUGGGUGAAGGCUGAGGUCAUAGAAUGGAAUAUACCCUUUCAUACUGUAAAUAGAUACUCAAAUUACUGACUGCCCUUCCAUGUUAAACAAAUAGAGAGGAAAGGAAAGCUUUGCAUGAAUGUAUUUGGAGGUACCAGAGUGAGAAAAGCUGAACUAGGCACUUCUGGUCCUUUGUUGAAGUGGCUUCUUCAGUAACACCUCUUUGUAGCUCAGUGGUAGAGCACCUGGGCGUCCAUCCUUGGCAUCCCCAGGUAUGGGUAGGAACUUUCCCUGUCUGCAGCACUUGAGAGCUGCUACCCAUCAGCAUCAACAAUACUGAGCUAAACAGACCAGCACUAUAAGGAGCUUCUGCUGUUUCUCACUGGAAUGAAUCUUUGUCCAGAGAUCAGGAAAUAAGCAUAUUCAUUUUCCUUUGCCAAAAGUAGAAAGGUAAGAAACUCAUUUGAAAUGCCAUGAAAAUAACACACAUAAAGAUCCUAUCUGAUGUUCCCGAGCCAACUCAAGACUUCUGCUGAUUCGCAGCCCAAAUGAAUGCAAACAACUAAGUAAUAUGUGAUUUCUCCUGGUAUUUUGACAUCUCUAGAAGAGAUCCACAAAAUUGAUGCCCCCGUCAUUGUGCAUGAUUAAUAGUCCAUGCAUUCCAGUCCAGUGUUUUGUGUUUCAUAUGGAGAUACAUAUGAGGAUUCUUGUCUUCUGCCCCAUUUGUGUGACGUGUGGUCCUUUGGUCUCUGCAAAGGUGUCACAGAAGCCAGAGGAAAGAUCAUCUCUCCCUCCCUCCCCUCCUCCCUCUCUCUCUCUCAGGCCAAGAAAGAGCUCCAGUCUUGGAGGGAGAGAUCCAACCUCCCUCACCAGCCCAGUGUUGGAACCUGACACUGGUUUGAAUGAUUUCUUUCCCAUUGAAAACAAUGGGGGAAUAGUUCAAAGUAAAAGAAAGAACAAAUGAAUGAAUGGAUGGAUGAAUGAAUGGAAGGAAGGAAGGAAGAAGAGUGGCAAAUCCCAUUCUAAUCUCCCAUCUACCAUGCUGGCAGGAGCACAACUGAGUUUAAGGAAAAAAUCAGAGUACUCCAACUUUGCUAGGGAGGCUGCUAUGUCCUACUUUGCAGAAGACAGUCUUCUAUUUGGGCUGCCAGAGAGUGGUUUGAAAAAAUUCUUUAUCUGAAGGGUUAUAGAAACCAAAUCUGUUUUUAAAAUAAGGCAUUAUAAAAGUGUUUGUCCUUCAGCACUCAGCACCUGGGCAGCAGGCUAAGAGGCAGGUGACAGGUAACUGGGUCACACUCUUCCCCCCGGGUAAGUCUUCUUGUAUUUCUAGUUGCAUUAAAAUGAUCUGUACGUUUGCACUUACACAUAUAGAUGAACAUAUGCAAAUGUCAGGCAAAUCAAUAGCAUCUUUGACUUCCUUUCUGGCAAUUCAUAAGCUGCCAUCCCAGAGAUUCAGAGAAAGAAUAAGAAUAUGACCUUAUCAGAGGCCUGGGAGCACAACAUUGCUAUUCCUGUAGGAGUGCCAGUUAAAUUAGGGUAAUUAGUUUAAGGCCAUUCACUGAACCCAAGGCUGAGGUAGGAGUUGUACUUUGUAAUUUGAAGCCCGGCUCAGUGGCAUUCAGGCUAGGCCCAUCCCGGACUCCAAGCCAGUGCUGGUGUUUUCAAUUUUUAGGUCAGUUCCUUUUGUUGUGGUAACCACUGUGUUAACCUGUGUGUCACUGUCUUCCCUAAAUGGAAAAGUGUUGUAAAGCAGCAUUGUUAGUUUGGAUUUGUGAUCUAUGCUUUAAAGGGACUCUUCUGUUGAAAAGUCACAUUACUUUGAGAAAACUGUUUGCUUUCCAUUGUUGCAGGUGACACUUAAGACUACCAUAAGUGAAAGAGAUUGGAGAGAAAAAUUGUCUCUGUUUUCCCCUCCUUUGUUUCGCUGCUUCUUUUAGUAACACUGCAUCUAGACGUGUUUUGUCAGUCUCCUCACCUUUAUGCAGUCCGUUCACCUUGACGGAGAUCCUCUGGUGUUCGUGUCAGUGGGGGAAGAUCUGCCAGAUGCAGCACAAUGAUCCAAAUUCCUCUGUGCUCAGAGCUGUCCUUGCUGCCGAUGGCACCAGAAACAGCCAUGUCUUCUGCACUGAGGCAGGGACACGAGUGCGAUUGCAGUGCUGGAUUUCACGGGUGAGGUAGAAAUUGGCAUUGUCUGAAAUAGGUUCAUGGCAUGGAGACAAAAUCGAAAUUUACAUGGGCUUCAGUGGGCAUAUAAUUUUAUGUGUGUCCUGAUCCUCGUUACAAAAGAGGCACCAUGACACAAAUAGUCUGAGAGCAGCUUGGUACUUUUCCACCCCAAAUAAACCCAAAGCCUAUGUGCAGUUGGUCCAAUGGUGAAUUUUGAAGGGCAGACACUCUUUGGGCAUGAUAAGGGUUGUUGUUGUGGGGAUAAGAUGGAGGAGGAGAAUGAUGUAAGCUGCCUUGAGCCCUUUGUAGGAAAAAGGCAGGAUAUAAAUCUGGAAAAAAAGUAACCCUGAUGUAAAAAGUUCAUGAUCUAAGCAACAAACCAUUAAGAGGUUCUAUGUCAGCAUGGUCUCCAUCUCCCCCACUCCAGACUUUCACUGGUGGCACAUAUCCCAUCCUCUGCCAUGCCUAAUUCAACCUAAUUCAAUCCCGAGGUGCAUUGCUCCCUGUUUACAUCACCCGCCUCUUCCUCAUUGAUCUACAACGUUCUCAGAGCGUGCCCUCUGUCACCCCUCACCUUUCUCCUCCUCCUACCUCUUUCAGCAGAAUCUGCCCUUUCAGUGUGGAAUAAGGGGUCUUUUAAUUUCAUCUCUCCUGUCCUUUGGUGUCUCCUCUGCUGGCGAGGCUCUGCAUCACUAUUUUUUCCAGAUGGGUGAUGCUGUGCUGGGCCUGCUCCUCCUCUGGAGACAGCUGCUGGGGUAGAAGAAGCUGGAGAGCAGAUGGCUGUUGAGAUACAUUGUCCAUGCCUUCCUGCCCGAGGCCCAGUUCUGAGUGCAUUCCUUAGGAACAGUAGUCCACACUGCUUCCUGGGACACUCUCCACCAUGCAGCACAACUCCUGGUCUCCCUGCAGCGGGGCCAUCAGUAGGACAUCUGGGGCUGGAAAAAUAUGUCAUGGUGCUUGAUACAAGGUGGGAUGCUUGCUGGGGCAUGGAGGAUGGGUGUGAAGGUGGACUGUUGCCCCUGAAGUCCAAGACAGAAGGUUUGCUUGCAAGAGAGAGCAUCUGGUGGUCCAGGAUGGGAGUAGAGGGUGCACAAUGUAUCAGGAGCAAUGCUGGAUGUGCUUGCCCAGGCAGGAUAUGACUCUGCUCUUUUGGAGUAGUUAUGAGCAGGAGAUGUAGGCUCUUGAGAUGGAGAAGGGGUGCCCUUCAUGAGACAGGAGUGCACUUUUGCUGCUUGGAAGGGGUAGUCCCAACUCCCAUGGUGUAGCCCAGUAUCAUGUCCCAGUGAAUGAGUAGUGGCCACACUGGUUUGCCAUAGCAAGGCAUGGUUCUGGGGGUUUCCCUAGAGUGCUCAUCACAAUCUCUUUGAGCUCUUCUUGAGAGCAUACAGUUAAUCCUUGUACUGCUCUGGGGUGCAUCAAUAGCCCUGCUUUUUCAGAUGCUCUCAAUUGGAAGAGAUUGCCAUGGCCUGUAGACCUCAGGUACACCUGCACCUCUGGUCUGGCUCAUAGGUGAAUAAAUGUGCCCAGUUCUUCUUUGGUCCAAACAUAGGACUGCGCUUUCCACUGGGAGCUGAUGCGCUUCCAUCAAGGGAGGACUGCUGAGAAGGAGCUGGGAAGCUGCAGUGCUUUGGAGAAUUGGCUGGGUGUUGGGGACUCAGCGCCAGCAUCCUCUCCAGUAUCCAUUCUGCCUGGGAGAGCAGGCACCUGUGUAAGGGAUGGGCCAGGGUGUCUGGCUGCAUCUAGCUUUCCAGAGGCAGCCCUUGUCUGAACUAGCCUGGCUUUCAGGAAACGGAUUGUGUCAGGGAUGUUGUGGUGGGGGGAAAGGCAAUGGCAGGACAUGGCUUGUUCACAGUCCCAAGGUAUGUCGUAGGUGACAUAUGACUGGAGAAGAGUACGGAAGGCAGAGUCAAGGACAGUGUUCUUUCAGCAGAACAUUUAAUGCCCAGAUGUGUGUCUGAAACAGUGACUUUAGAGACAGGAGGGGAAUGCUUUUGCAUCCGUAGGAAUUGCAGCAGGCGGAGAGCAGUGCAGAGGGAGCUGAUGUGCUUCUCUAUAGCAGGAAAACAAGAACUGGACAUCCGGAGAAAAACAGAGAAGCGGGAGGUGGAUGGGAGCAGACAGCAGCCCAUAGGGAUGGAGCAAGCAGUGAUGCACCUGUGACGAGGUGGAGAUGGAUGGUAGAGGCUGGAUGACUGCAGAGGCUCCUAUAGUGACUGCUCUUUCCAGGGGACUCUGGUAGUUGAACACCUGAACUGUGGCAACUGCAUUCUUGGGUUUGGAUGUCAUGAGAAGCCAUCCAUGGUAAGCCGAAAGUAUAGUAAAAACCACAGUUUCGUAUUGCAGUUUCUUAUCUCACUGAAGUCCCACAAAUGAGGUUUUAUGACAUGACCAAGAAGAAGCAGAAGAAGAAGAUUAAAAACCACCUUGGCUCAUUCAGUCAUUAAAACCCAGUUGUUGUAACAGUUCCCACAGCCAUGCCCCCAAGGACAGCUCCAAACCAGUUCUAGUUGUUUUUGUCCCCAUCAAGACCUGGUCUUUCCCAAAGCUUGAUCACUCAUUCAGGACUAAAUGACCUCCAGAUACUUUGCAUUGCAACUUAAGAUAGCUCAGAACCAUAUAGUGUUGCUGGGAAAAUCCACUAUUUUCCAGCUACUGAGAAGACCUCAACCCAGCUCAGGGGGAGUAGGAAAUCUAGAAGGUUCUAGCAGAUAAUGUUAGCAUCCCUGCUAUUGAAAGCAAACAAACAAUGUGCAUUCCAUUUAUUAAAACCAACCAAAAUGUCAUCAAAUUGUGCAUGAAUUGGGGAAUUCAAGAGGUUGCUCACCAUUCUGAGAUGUUUUGGUUGAUAGUAAUAAAAGGUAUUGUCCCCCUCCUAUGAAGUUUGGCUUUUUUAAAAACUAAAAAUUUAGUUCUCCUGUCCAGAGAAACAAUGGAGUUAUACUAAAUAUUCAGAAAGGAAAUGAAUAAAAACCUAGCUUCAUGAUGAUUUCUUCCAUAUGUCCUGAUUUCUCAAGCAUUGAUGCAAAGUGUUAAUACCUGUGGCUUAUAAUUUCAAGGUGAUUAUAAGAAUGCUACCUGUCCAUUAAUCAUAGUUUGGUAAUUGCUCAAUAUAUCAUUAAUACAAAUGAUAUGCAAAUUAUAGUCACAAAAAGAUGUAGAUUAACCUUCCAGCACAUUACUUUUGAAGGGUUCUCCCUGCUACAGACCAAGACAAAGAUACCCAUAUCAUAGAAAAUUCAGAUUAGUAUAAUAUCUGGAUAUAGGAUGAAUUUGAAAAUUGUCUUCUGAGAGAGAUUAGUGUCAGUCCGUAGGAUAUAUGGCAGCUGCCUUCCUUCACCCUGCUGUGUGAGAUCCCUUUCAGUAGAGGUUGGACCUGAAACUCUCUGCAUUCAAAGCAUAUUCUCUACCGCUGAGAUACGGCUUCUUCUAAGAGGUGUGAGGCAGCAGAUGAUGCAAAGCAAUAUGCCAUAUACCCAAUGCACAAGUAACGUGUCUUUUUUGGAUAAUGGAAUGUUCAUACAUCCCAGUAAUCUUCCACAAAUGGGAAGCAAGAUCAGAAUCAGUUGGAUUUUUGGACUCAUAAGCCGCUCUUGUGCCAUAUGGAUCUUUGGAUGAUAUGGGAACCAUCAUAGCUGAAACAUAUUUAUGUCUAUGGACAAGAAACCCUCUAAGUCUUCAUGGCAUUACUGGCAGAGGAAGAAACCAUCUGCCAGUUUCCAUUUCUUUCCAUGUCUCAUUUUUCCCUUCUUAACAUCCCUUUAUCCCAUUUAUUCAUGUUUGCAAGCAGUUUCCACUAAUAAAACACCUUUAUAUGAUUUUUUCACUAAUAUAGGGUUUUUGCGUGUGGCCAAAUAUGUGCAUUUUUAUGGCUUGUUUGACUAGAGAAUUACAUUGCAAAAUUCAGAAAAGUAAGAAUGCUAAAGGAUAUUUGUGUUUCAGUUCCUAUACUGGUUUUGGAAAUGUAAAUUCAGAGGGUUCAUAUUAAGAUGCAUACCACAUUUUUUUCUCCUCCCCCAUACUGGGACUAAUUAAAUAGGUCAGCAAAGCUAUGAUGGAGCUCAAUUAUAACACAUCCAUAGUUUCAUAAAUAGCUAGAUUCUGUUUGGGGUUACAAAUACAGCAGGAUAUCCAUGGAAAGAGUUAAAAAAUAUCCCUGGUAGUCAUAAAAAAAUUGAGCUGACAUUUAAGCCCAAGUGACAGAUUUUCUUUCGAGCUCCCACACAGACGAGUGCCAUAACCCAUCAUAUUAAGCUGGCAGUGAGAAAGAACAGCAACAAAAGAAAGCAAUAUCGCUUUGCCGGAUUUGUUAUGUCUACAUUGUGCUGAUCUAGUGUGCGUGUGCUCUCUUCAGACAUCAUGUACAGAUGGGCCUGGUUCCUGGUAGACUCCGUGCGACUUGAGGCAUUCUGUCCAAGGUGGCCGUCCUCCAGCUUCAUUCCCAGACAGAUGGGCUGACGGGAACACCUACCAGAGUCCUGCUUAACAAGCAGAGGAUAUAUUCUUUUUGUUGGCCACCUUGCGUCCUUCCCUUUUAUCUCUUAUACGGCAACGUAAUGUGUUCAAUUUUCUGUGAAGGCAACAACUAGCACUGUAUUGAGCGCACAACUGGAGUUAGGCUGCUAUAUUAUUUUCAGCAACAUUUUAAUUACAGGAUUAUUUCUAAUUUUAUUUAUGCACGACUGAAUGAGUUUUGUAUAAAAGGGAUGAGUUCUAAUUGCAGGCUUGCUUAAAAAAUGGGUAUGAACACUUUUCCAUCCUGCUGAUUUCAUUGGGAAAGUUAAAUAUUUCUGGAAAUCAUUCCUUUUGCAAUCAAUGGCACCUAAAACAUGCUUAUUUUUGGCCA